UGGGCGAAGCCUGCUCCGCCCCUCCGCGUGAGUGAAGAAGGCCUUCGGGUUGUAAAGCUCUUUCGCAAGGGAAGAAAACUUAGGCGCUAAUAUCGCUUGAGGUUGACGGUACCUUGAUAUGAAGCACCGGCUAACUACGUGCCAGCAGCCGCGGUAAUACGUAGGGUGCGAGCGUUAAUCGGAAUUACUGGGCGUAAAGCGUGCGCAGGCGGUUUUGUAAGUCAGAUGUGAAAUCCCCGAGCUCAACUUGGGAACUGCGUUUGAAACUACAAGACUAGAAUAUGUCAGAGGGGGGUAGAAUUCCACGUGUAGCAGUGGGGGGGGGAGAGAUGUGGAGGAAUACCAAUGGCGAAGGCAGCCCCCUGGGAUAAUAUCGACGCUCAUGCACGAAAG
RNAcentral lists this ribosomal RNA (393 nucleotides) under uncultured bacterium. Its description in RNAcentral is "partial 16S ribosomal RNA". It matches the Rfam family "Bacterial small subunit ribosomal RNA", at positions 372 to 759 of the family's 1533-position model. The record is from RNAcentral.